GGCUUGGUGGCUCAGUGGGUUGGAACAUCAAAAGGUUUUGGGUUCGAUUCCCAGUCAGGCCA
Molecule: transfer RNA, 62 nt
Filed under: Myotis davidii
Lineage: Eukaryota; Metazoa; Chordata; Mammalia; Chiroptera; Vespertilionidae
Rfam family: tRNA
About the family: Transfer RNA (tRNA) molecules are approximately 80 nucleotides in length. Their secondary structure includes four short double-helical elements and three loops (D, anti-codon, and T loops).
Source: Rfam by way of RNAcentral